This is a long non-coding RNA of Melitaea cinxia (Glanville fritillary), 327 nucleotides long. RefSeq lists it as uncharacterized. Lineage: Eukaryota; Metazoa; Arthropoda; Insecta; Lepidoptera; Nymphalidae. The record is from RefSeq and is a predicted model, not a curated record. The transcript has 2 exons.
UCCAGAGCGACAACCCGCUAACGCGAGAAAAUGUCACGUCACUGUCAUAAAAUAAGAGUUACGACGACAUAUUUUGUACAAAAAAUUGUUGUAUUUUUGCAACGUGGUCGUGACGUGGACAAUAGAAUUAUAUGUCAUGACGUGGCAGUGGUUAUAGAGCGUAGUAGGGACCAGUCAAGGAGUGCAAACCCCCCGGAAACCGAGACAAAGUCCGCCCCGGCAAGUCGCGUAGACCCGUAGAUCGCGCAUUGGGGGCGGUAAAUCGUUCCAGCACCGGGAGGCCGCAAACCUGAACGAUCCACGAAAGGCAGCAGUUCUGUGCGCCGG